CAGCAGCCGCGGUAAUACGAAGGGUGCAAGCGUUAACCGGAAUUACUGGGCGUAAAGCGUGCGUAGGCGGUGAGUUAAGUCUGCUGUGAAAGCCCUGGGCUCAACCUGGGAAUUGCAGUGGAUACUGGGUCACUAGAGUGUGGUAGAGGAUAGUGGAAUUUCCGGUGUAGCAGUGAAAUGCGUAGAGAUCGGAAGGAACAUCUGUGGCGAAGGCGACUAUCUGGGCCAACACUGACACUGAGGCACGAAAGCGUGGGGAGCAAACAGGAUUAGAGACCCCCGUAGUCCCUGUCUCUUAUAC
This 301-nucleotide ribosomal RNA is filed under the name uncultured bacterium. Its description in RNAcentral is "partial 16S ribosomal RNA". It matches the Rfam family "Bacterial small subunit ribosomal RNA", at positions 509 to 807 of the family's 1533-position model. The record is from RNAcentral.